GUGCUCACUUUGGCAGCACAUAUGCUAAAAUUGGAACGAUACAGAGAAGAUUAGCAUGACCCCUGCGCAAUAAAUUCAUGAAGCAUUCCAUAUUUAA
Molecule: small nuclear RNA, 97 nt
Filed under: Rhinopithecus bieti (black snub-nosed monkey)
Lineage: Eukaryota; Metazoa; Chordata; Mammalia; Primates; Cercopithecidae
Source: RNAcentral